UACGGAGGGUGCAAGCGUUGCUCGGAAUCACUGGGCGUAAAGCGACCGCAGGCGGCCUGACAAGUCGGAUGUGAAAGCCCUGGGCUCAACUCAGGAAUUGCAUUCGAAACUGGUAGGCUCGAGUACGGGAGAGGGGGGUGGAAUUCCUGGUGUAGGGGUGAAAUUCGUUGAUAUCAGGAGGAACACCGGCGGCGAAGGCGGCCCCCUGGCCCGCAACUGACGCUCAUGGUCGAAAGCGUGGGGAGCAAACCGG
This 253-nucleotide ribosomal RNA is filed under the name uncultured bacterium. RNAcentral's name for it is "partial 16S ribosomal RNA". It matches the Rfam family "Bacterial small subunit ribosomal RNA", at positions 524 to 776 of the family's 1533-position model. The record is from RNAcentral.